RNAcentral lists this ribosomal RNA (260 nucleotides) under uncultured prokaryote. RNAcentral describes it as "partial 16S ribosomal RNA". It matches the Rfam family "Bacterial small subunit ribosomal RNA", at positions 524 to 784 of the family's 1533-position model. The record is from RNAcentral.
UACGUAGGGGACGAGCGUUAUCCGGAAUUACUGGGCGUAAAGGGCGCGCAGGCUGUAGAUCAAGUCAGCUGUGAAAUGUCUGGGCUUAACCCGGGCAUGCGGUUGAAACUGAUGUACUGGAGUGCUGUAGAGGCAAGUGGAAUUCCCAGUGUAGCGGUGAAAUGCGUAGAUAUUGGGAAGAACACCGGUGGCGAAGGCGACUUGCUGGGCAGCAACUGACGCUGAGGCGCGAAAGCCAGGGGAGCAAACGGGAUUAGAUA